Long non-coding RNA from Artibeus jamaicensis (Jamaican fruit-eating bat), 3455 nucleotides. RefSeq lists it as uncharacterized. Lineage: Eukaryota; Metazoa; Chordata; Mammalia; Chiroptera; Phyllostomidae. The record is from RefSeq and is a predicted model, not a curated record. The transcript has 5 exons.
UGCUGUGGCAACACUGAGGUCUGCCCUUCUGAUCCUGGCUCACUCUGGCCCUCUCUGCACACCCUCUGAUCCCUGCAGUCUGACCCAGAGCAUGGAGCCACCGAAGACGUCGGAACUGUCGUGCCCCAGCCCUGAUCUUCAUCCUUCACCAGAGGAAUCUCUCAAAAUAAACACAGAGUUUUGUGAGGAAAGUGUGACAUACUCAGAUCUCAGAAUUCAUAAUACUUCCAAUAUUCAGAAAGAAAAUGUGACUAGGAAUUUGAAGAUAAAAGAGUCUUCCUGGGCCCUCGCUGCAGUGGUAUUUGCCUGCCUUUAUUUAAUUGUUCUGGUCGUAGCUGCAAUUAUGAUAGCUAAAGUUAAGUAUCUAGAAAGACUGCUAAAGGCAGAGGAAAGCAAUCUGCAAAAUGAGACUGCACAUUAAAAAAUGCUACAGUAGAACAGAGGUAACUUCUCCUUCUUUAAAGAAAACUGAUAUAUUAUCUCUGCUGAAACUAUAAUCUUGGCAGCAAGAAAAUGCUUCUGAAGCACUGAGUUCCAGUCUUAUCGAGCAGGACAAAUAGCAAGGAAGAACUGGAAGUGCAUGGCAUGCUAUUCAUUCUUCUAUUUUCUCUACAGGAGAUAAUUACAGAUAGAGACUUUUUAACAUCUUGUGUUCAUUCGAUCACGUAAAACUCAACUUAUUAUCAUUGGAGAUCUCUUAAUGAAACAGAAAAUAUCAAGAUAGGGACUUCAAAGGAUUGUGUCAUUUUUUAAUUUUAAAUAUAUUUACAUACAGAUGUAAAUAUAUGAUCCGUAAAAACUUCAGACCUGGGUAAAUAAAUAGGGGAGGAAAUCGUGCAGGACAUACAAACUAGAGGGAAUCUAGUCACGAUCGGCACCUGAGAUGUGGUUACUGUUUAUUGCUUGCUUCUGAUAUUUCUGGCACCAGCACUUCAGUGAUUACAUGUAUUAAAGCAGGUACUGUCCCAAUAUCCUACAAGACAGUGCUACCAUUAUUGCUAUAGUAAUAAUGAAGAAGCCAAGGCCCAGAGAGGAUGAGAAAUGUUUCAAAGGUUGAAUAGCUAGUAAGAAUUAGCACCAAGAUUUAAGCCAAGACAGACUUUCUCUAGAGACCAUGAACUUAACCACAACGCUAUGCUGACCCCAGAACAACAUGUCACAUCGAACCAAGUUGUAUGAAUAUUGCUUCUUUGGAAACAGUCAGGGCUGCUUAUACCAGCAGGUCGACAUUUUUCUCUCCUGGAUGUAUCUUUCAGAGAAGAAACAAAUGAUUAAAAAACUUUUCAGAAUCCAAUUUCACUGUAGCUACUGAAGCGAUGCUAUUAGACUCUAGCAAGUGUAAAGAACACAGGUCUUCUUUUUUGUUUAGUUCUCCUUUACUAUGGGGUUGUUGCCGCUCGACUGUUUUCCUUUUUCGCUGCAUCCACAUUCUGUUAUUCCCUUCAAUAAAGGCUUCAAAGUGUAUGAGUGGUGGCAGAUUCGUGGCGUGUAUGCAGACACUUCCCUUAUGGGGCUUUUGGAAGGCACUCCUCACAAACACAGCAUCCCUCCCCACGGAGGCUGGACUCCAGUUGGAAUAAUUCUCAACAAAGCCCAUCUGAAUGUCUUUCCCCAGCUGAACUGCUGUCUUCGUAUUAUGUUUCAAAUUGAACCUGUACAUACAGAUCACCAGUGAAUGCUUUCAGAAAGAAUAAGUAAAAGUAUAUUUAAAAAUAAAGUUAAAAACAGGAUAGAGUCACAUUAUUUAAAGAAAUAGAACUAGAAAUGGGUGCUAACUACCUGUUAAAUAUUCUUUUAAAAUAAAAUGCGUGGGGGUAACAGUGGAUAAUAACUUACUUUUCUAGGGACCCCAUAGUCUAUAAAAAGGUAGUUGGCUACCUUCCCUUCAUAUAUGUUCAGAAAAGAUCUUAUACGCUAAAUGUAUAUUCUCUGAAAUAAAGGGAAUAUUGGCAUCUCAGAAACAAAGCAGUGAGCUAUGAAAUAACAGAGUUUUUAUUUCUCUUCAGAGUCUGUUGACAACAAGGCUCCUGAAUCUUACAGCACGUGGGCUACUUGGAACAGUUUCCUCUCUACCCACAGGGGUACCUCCCACCUGUUACUGGCAAAUUUGCAUGUGUGUGCUGACAUUUUAUGUAACCUCAUUUUCAAAAAUUUCAGGGAGAUACACACCAAACCCCGCCCCCUGGCUGGUGUAGUUCAGUGGAUUGAGCAGGGGCCUGCAAAUCAAAGGGUUGCCCAAUUGAUUCCUGGUCAGGGCACAUGCCUGGAUUGCAGGCCAGGCCCUACUGAUGUUUCUCUCCCUCUCUGUCUCCCUCCCUUCCCCCCUCUAAAAAUAAAUAAAUCAAACAUUCUUUUAAAAAAACCUAACCCCUGCAAAUUGCUACUUUUUUAUUUAGAGUGACCAUCUGCAAAAUAAAAUAUUUAGAGAAGAAAAGUAUACAGUAAACUAGACACUGCGGAGUGGAAAGAGUCUGGUAGAGUAUAUAAACCUUCUGUUACUAGUAGGUUGUUUCUGCAAUAGUAAAAUAGGGACAACUGUAAAGCACACAUUCUUACUCAUCGUAUGUACCUUUGGACCAAGUCCCGUGGAAUAAACAAAGAAAGGUGCUGCUGUGUCAGACUGUGGACAAGCCGUGGAAGCACACGAGACUGGGAGAAACAGCCUCCAGCUCGUCGCCAUCAGAAUUUUAACGCUGAAGCCUUUGAUAAGCGAAACCGAAAUAACUGCUAAUUGUUUAUGCUUUGUUUCGAUGAAGAUCCUAUCUAAGAGACAAUGGAAAGAAGUUAAACUUCACUUCUGAGAUUUUAAAGCCAAGUUCUUUGCAGCACAUUCACGCAGGUGGGUCUAAGUAGUUGUCUCAGAGUCACCGUGUUUUACGAUAAGUUGGAGUUCUGAAUAGUGCUCAAGUGUAAAACCCGUUGUGAAAAUGUACGGAGCAAGUUGAUUUCUCGGGUGGUCUUGAACAGCCUCCUCACAUUGCCCAACCUUCUCCUAGUGUUCCAAGCACUUUUUCAUUGGCUCACCCCAGCUCUUCUUAAAAACUCUCCCACCUGGCUUUUCCGGAGUUGAAUCCAAUAUCUCUCCCUUGUGGCAGUCUUUGAAUAGUCUUCCUGGCCUGUUUAAUUCUGUUCAGUUCACAUUUGAGGGAUCUGGGUUAAAACUCUCCACUAAUUCUUUACACCAUUCUUGCAACUUUUUCUGUAAGGCUAAAAUUACUUUUUAUUUCGUUUUAUGAAACUAGAAUCUCCUCCCCUAUUGAGGUUACUCACUAGUUUAAAAACUAGUAAAGAAAAGAAUCAAGUAUUUCUCCAGCAAACAGUUUUCUGUAUAAACUGUAGCAUAGAUUAACCUAAUCGUCGAUGGGGUAAAGUUAGCAAAUAUUAUUUUGAUCAGUAAAUGAAAAGAGAAUGUUUAAAUUAAAAUAUCACCAUUUUGCCAUGUGUAAUGAGUUAAU